This 339-nucleotide long non-coding RNA is filed under the name Brachypodium distachyon (stiff brome). Its description in RNAcentral is "long non-coding RNA (BDIS_LNC000734)". The record is from RNAcentral. Lineage: Eukaryota; Viridiplantae; Streptophyta; Magnoliopsida; Poales; Poaceae.
UUCCGAACAACUUGAUUUCCAAGAUUUUUUUUUUAUAUCUUUCCUCUUUCUGAAACUCUUUUCCAACUCUCUCCCGGUUGGACUCGAACUCGGAUUCGCGGUUGAAAACUAAAACUUGCCGACUCGGUGUAGGACUCGACGAGGGACUCGAUGGAAGAUAUGGUGGUAGCAAAAGAUUACAGCGUGGCGGUGGUGUGGCAGGGAGUUUGGCGGCGGAAGAUUGAUGAAGAAACCUGUGCCACACGAAGAACAAAAAACCAAAAACAAGUUCGAUCUAGUAGAAAAAAAUCUGAAAAACGAUCCAAUCUAAUCCAUCAACUCGACAUGAUUAAUGCAGCA